This 393-nucleotide long non-coding RNA is filed under the name Mytilus galloprovincialis (Mediterranean mussel). The record is from RNAcentral. Lineage: Eukaryota; Metazoa; Mollusca; Bivalvia; Mytilida; Mytilidae.
AUUGAUCAACAUUGGUAUUAAUCUCUAAAGAUAUCCUUACUACACCUGGAUGUCCUUGUUAACUUGCUGCUUCGUUCCAUUGUUGUUCAGAGGACUACAAACCAUUAAUUUCUGUAAAAUCAACAUAAUAGAUACCAAUUCCUCCUAUAUCUAAAAGUAACCACAUUAUAUCAGUAUGUCCUACUAGACUUGCUAUGUACAGAGGACUCCGGCCUUUAUUGUCACAAAGGUCAACAUUGGGAUUCAUCUCUAACAACAACUUUAAUAUAUCAGUAUGUCCUUCCUGACUUGCCAUGUACAAUGGACUACAGCCAGUGUUAUCACAUAGAUCAAUGUUAGCAUUUUUCUCUAUCAACAAUUUUACUAUUUCAGUAUGUCCAUACCGACUUGCCU